CCUACGGGUGGCAGCAGUGAGGAAUAUUGGUCAAUGGGCGUAAGCCUGAACCAGCCAAGUCGCGUGAGGGAUGAAGGUUCUAUGGAUCGUAAACCUCUUUUAUAAGGGAGUAAAGUGUGGGACGUGUCCUAUUUUGUAUGUACCUUAUGAAUAAGGAUCGGCUAACGCCGUACCAGCAGCCGCGGUAAUACGGAGGAUCCGAGCGUUAUCCGGAUUUAUUGGGUUUAAAGGGGGCGUAGGCGGCCUUUUAAGUCAGCGGUGAAAGUCUGUGGCUCAACCACAGAAUUGCCGUUGAAACUGGGGGGCUUGAGUAUGUUUGAGGGAGGCGGAAUGCGUGGUGUAGCGGUGAAAUGCUUAGAUAUCACGCAGAACACCGAUUGCGAAGGCAGCCUGCCAAGCCAUGACUGACGCUGAUGCACGAAAGCGUGGGGAUCAAACAGGAUUAGAUACCCUUGUAGUC
RNAcentral lists this ribosomal RNA (460 nucleotides) under uncultured bacterium. Its description in RNAcentral is "partial 16S ribosomal RNA". It matches the Rfam family "Bacterial small subunit ribosomal RNA", at positions 338 to 795 of the family's 1533-position model. The record is from RNAcentral.